RNAcentral lists this long non-coding RNA (1102 nucleotides) under Lynx canadensis (Canada lynx). RNAcentral describes it as "lncRNA (ENSLCNG00005017285.1)". Lineage: Eukaryota; Metazoa; Chordata; Mammalia; Carnivora; Felidae. The record is from RNAcentral.
CUCAUAUUUUGUUUUUAACCUUAAAGUUUAGACCCAACAUAGUAAUAUAAACACAAAUUCAGAGGACAUAGGCAUAGAGUAUUAGCAGACUAAAAAAAGGUAAGUUUUAGAAAGAACAAAACAAUUAUGUUUCUAAACAUUUGUGGAUCUCAAGCAAUGGCCAGACUGUAUAGAAAUUUCAUCAAUGCUAACGUUCCUGGGGGGUUGGUGUCAAGUGUCAUAAUCUAUAGGAAAGCAGUGUGUCGUAGGAUGUAUCAUACCCAUCAACAUGGUGGUGACAUUUAAUGGCCCUGGUCUUUGCAACCCUAGGAAACAUGGUGACGAUAUAAGUUAAAGAAUAGAGCUUUAUGAUGAAAGACACUUGUCAUGUGAUGAAUUAGGAAAAGAUUGAAAAUGGGAAGGAAUUCUAUGAACUCUUAACCCUAUGGGCAUGGAAUAAUAAGGAAAGGAUGGAACAAUAGCUUUGAUCCUACUGUACAUUUAUAACCAUGUGAAGAGUGUUUCAUGUGUAAGAAUAAAUUUUAUCAGGGGACAGAUAUGAGGCUGAUGGAAACAUGGGCAGAUUAUGUAUAAUCCUAACCAAUAUCAGGCCUUAUUUGAUGAAAGCAAUUGUAACUCACAGGCAACAAAUUGAACAAACAAGAGAACAGCUGCAACAGGCAGAGCUCACCUUCAGACAUCAGAUCGCAGUUUAUGAGAAGAAUGCUCAGGACAACUGGGUGUUUUCUUUUUUCCUCCUCUCUCUCUUUGGUGCAUAGUCUGGCACAACUGAAGGUGGGUAUGUUUAUCUCCCCCAUAUCAAGAUUCAAGUCUGGGAGAGGGAGAUGACAGAGCAGAGCAGGGAGGUCACCUACUUGAAAUACAGGUAUGGUAGUUUGACUUGUGUUUUUAUGGAUGUUUCCAGGGAUGAUGCCUGUGCUGUUAUUUAGUAGAGUACGUGGUGUUGCAACUCUUAUAGAAGUCCAUUCUUUUUCUUUAUCCAAGAGUGGAUGUGAUGGAAGGAAAGAGGCUGCCUGUGGGAUGCCCGAGGCAGAAACCAAUGCCUGGAAGACUGCUGUGCAGCCUGUUCCUGUGGGUGAUCAUCGUGUGGCCUGAAAAGAAU